Molecule: long non-coding RNA, 1122 nt
Organism: Nerophis ophidion (straightnose pipefish)
Lineage: Eukaryota; Metazoa; Chordata; Actinopteri; Syngnathiformes; Syngnathidae
Exons: 6
Source: RefSeq, a predicted model, not a curated record
UUCCGGUGACAGUGAACAUCAGAUUGACAGUUUUUCUAAUUGACAUACACAAGGUCAAACUAUUAAUGUAUAUCUUGGUAGACUUGAACCAGACACUUUAUCAACGCUGUCUCAACCGAGACAAAAAUGGAUGUUUACCAGGAAGCGGUGAUCCAAGAGUCUCUGGAAGGAAUAUGGCAGCCACGCCACUAAUGAUGGGAGCUCCUCCAUAGAUCAAACCAGGCAACCAAGGUUCUGUAUGGCCUGGUCAUGCCUGUUGCUGAUGACCAGCCAUCUUGAAGAUUCAUGAAACCACCUGUAUGAAAAUUUUUUUCUCACCAUGCAUAAAUAAAGAAGAAGUAGAAGGGAGAAGACACAGCCAAUGUCAACCACCUCCAGUCCCGGACAAAGUAAGCGAUGAGUGCCAGGAUUAACUGUCCCAGCGUGUAACAGUAACCGCCAAACUUACUGAGUGAGAAUGUGUUGAGCCCCACGCCCGACAGCGCCAUACCGCAACCAAAGCGGCACAGACAGAAGAUGGGGAAGGAUGUGGAGAAAGCGGCGCACGUCCCAGACACUGCCAUCAGCAGGCACUUACCUGCGGAAUAGGAGGAACGCUGUCUCUCAGGAUCCAACUUGAAAGCCACUCAAAGCAUCAAGUAAAAUAUUUGAAAAGGCCAAAACAAUCAAAAGCAGGAAGGGUAAAGUUGUUGCUGCAUUUCAUGCAAACAAUCACUCCAAAUCCAGCGCUUUUUUUUUUACUCCUGAACUUUGGAUUAUUGGCAUGGAGGGGGGUGCACAAGGAAUUAGCCUCUCACUCUCAUAGCUAACUCACUAAAGUAUAAGGCAGAGGCUUAUGACUUAGGGAGCAAAAAGAGGUCCAGCAGCAAAGUGGGCAGAUACUGUACUUUAGUUUGUCUCUUUACCACUCCCAUUCCUAAUUGGUUACUACAUUUGUGUGUGUGCCCACUGGUUAGAAUUUUACAACUCAAUAUUCAUCAUCAUUUAGAUGCCCCUUUAGUAAUGUAAUAUUUUAAUAGGAAAAGCAAGUGUGGCAGUUCUCACUUUCAAAGAUGACUGAGGGCUAUCAGAGGAAACUGGUUCCUUAACAUGGCAGAUACAAUAAAUACCCCAUUUUUUUUU